Molecule: ribosomal RNA, 384 nt
Filed under: uncultured bacterium
Lineage: Bacteria
Description: bacterial SSU rRNA
Rfam family: Bacterial small subunit ribosomal RNA
Source: RNAcentral
CUGGGCUCAACUACUAGCUGCAAACCUCUGGAAACAGAGGAAUCCUUAGAGGGUGCUAGAUAGGUGCUGCAUGGUUGCCGUCAGCUCGUGCCGUGAGGUGUACCUUUAAGUAGGGUAACGAGCGCAACCCUCGUCCUGUGUUAAAUAUACACAGGAGACUGCUCGCGCAAGUGAGAGGAAGGGGAGGACGACGUCAAAUCAGCAUGGCUCUUACGUCCAGGGCUACACACAUGAUACAAUGGCCGGUACAAAGGGUUGCCAAACCGCGAGGUGGAGCUAAUCCCAAAAAACCGGCCUCAGUUCGGAUUGAAGGCUGAAAUUCGCCUUCAUGAAGUCGGAAUCGCUAGUAAACGCGCAUCAGCUACGGCGCGUUGAAUACGUUCU